Long non-coding RNA from Saccostrea cuccullata (small rock oyster), 313 nucleotides. RefSeq lists it as uncharacterized. NCBI's taxonomy places the organism in Eukaryota, Metazoa, Mollusca, Bivalvia, Ostreida, Ostreidae. The transcript is spliced from 3 exons. The record is from RefSeq and is a predicted model, not a curated record.
CGUAGAUCACACUCCCAAAGGGAAAGUAAACUUCUUACAACAGUUUUAACUUCCUUGAUUUCCCAGAGUAUUAAGUUAAUUGCAGUUUUGGUUGGAAAAUUUCCACAAUGCUUGAAUGAUCACAAAAUGAGCAAUUACACGUAAGAGUUUUAUGGGGUGCCUCUUCUAGAAUUGUAUCUUGAUCUCAGGGCUGGGUCAGGGACUCUGGUGUUGGGGCGGGUUCGACACACACUUCUAUUAAUUUUGAUACAGACGGAUCUAAGACACAGUGAUAUGGAUUCGGAGAUCCGUUUAUCGUUGUCAUGGAACAUAA